CCUGCGGAUGCAGCUGUGUUUGCCCGGCGUGCGGCUUCCUCUUGCCUGCUCUCUUCUGAGCUCUCAGCCAAUCCGGCAUCUCCUGAAAGAAAUGGGAGUAAUCGUAGGGGGUCCACCACUCAAAGACUGGACAUAUCAAAGACAACCUGGUGCAUGGUCUAUGUUGCCACGCUAUUUUAAACAUGACCUCAGGGGCGGCGCCUGCGGCUCAGUCGCUGGAACCAGGGCUGUUGAAGAGAAGAAAAAGAAGGUUCCUGCUGCGCCAGAAACCCUUAAGAAAAAGCGAAAGAAUUUCGCAGAGCUGACGCUCAAGCGUCUGAGAAAGAAGUGUGCCCAAAAGAUGCUUUGAAAGGCAAGGAGGAAGCUUAUCUAUGAAAAAGCUAAGCAUCAUCAUAAAGAAUAUAGGCAGAUGUACAGAACUGAGAUUCGGAUGGCUAGGAUGGCAAGAAAAGCUGGCAACUUCUAUGUACCUGCAGAACCAAAAUCGGCAUUUGUCAUCAAAUCCGAUCAGAGGUAUCAAUGGUGUGAGUCCGAAGGUCCGAAAGGUGUUGCAGCUUCUUCUCCUUUGCCAAAUCUUCAAUGGAACUUUUGUUAAGCUCAACAAGCCUUCCAUCAACAUGCUGAGGAUUGUAGAACCAUAUAUUGCAUGGGGGCACCCAAAUCUGAAGUCAGUAAAUGAGCUAAUCUACAAGCGUGGUUAUGGCAAAAUCACUAAGAAACAAAUUGCGUUGACUGAUAACAGUUCGAUUGCGCGAUCUCUUGGUAAAUAUGGCAUCAUCUGCAUGGAGGAUCUGAUUCAUGAGAUCUAUACUGUUGGAAAACGCUUCAAAGAAGCAAAUAACUUCUUGUGGCCCUUUAAGUUAUCAUCUCCACGGGGAGGGAUGAAGAAAAAAACAACCCACUUCGUAGAAGGUGGAGAUGCUGGUAAUAGGGAAGAUCAAAUCAAUAGGCUUCUUAGAAGAAUGAACUAAGGUAUCUGCCCUGAUUGUUUUUGUAAUCUGGUCAGUUAAUAAACAGUGACUGCUUUCAAAUUGAAA
This is an RNA transcript of Nycticebus coucang (slow loris), 1037 nucleotides long. It is a transcript of the gene named 60S ribosomal protein L7-like, with no coding region annotated. Lineage: Eukaryota; Metazoa; Chordata; Mammalia; Primates; Lorisidae. The transcript is spliced from 4 exons. The record is from RefSeq and is a predicted model, not a curated record.